Long non-coding RNA from Polyodon spathula (Mississippi paddlefish), 1642 nucleotides. RefSeq lists it as uncharacterized. The transcript is spliced from 3 exons. The record is from RefSeq and is a predicted model, not a curated record. NCBI's taxonomy places the organism in Eukaryota, Metazoa, Chordata, Actinopteri, Acipenseriformes, Polyodontidae.
GAGAACAACGAGAAAAGACAACACACAUUUUUCCAAAUGCUAUUUCUUAAAAAUGUAUUUAAUCAGCAAUGUUUUGUAUUACUUAUUUAUAUAAACUAUGUUACAGCUAUACUUUAUUUAUUUGACUAUACUGUAGCGUGCUACACCUCGUGCACCUCGGUUUGGAGAAUAUUAUGGAACACAUUUGAUGGAAAAAAAAGAACACAACAGUCCCAGUCAUACCAGGAUGUCUGGUCAUCCUACUCUUUUGUCAACUACAGAUUAGAUACAGAGCUCCUUGUCUUCCAGGGAAAGUGACAGGAGCCAGGACAGAUGAGGCCUGCCUUUCCUGGAGCCUGAAUACUGAUAAUCGACUGCAGUUGCCAUCAACAGGAGAUUGCCAACUUAAGUAGCAAUAGUGUCUCAAGAAGGACUUGUUGACAUUUCAUGAAAUCAGAAAGGCUCAACUCAAGCCUUUUGUUUCACUUUUUAAAAACUAUUUAAAAUAUACAUUUAUGAAAUAAAGUAUGUUCAUACAGUAGCUAGACAUAAAAGAGCCGCCUUGAUCGAUUUUGUAUUUUUAUACACCAACAACUACAGCAGAGAGAUUUUGAUAGAUACUGUUUUUUGCGGUUAAUGUUUCUAUGCUAGAAUGUAAAAGUAAUCAUUGCUGUAGGCAUAUAAUUAUAGACAGUGGAUGUUAUAAAUGUUGACAGCUGAGAACAAAUAUUUAUUGUAUGUAUUUUAUUUAUUUAUUUGGAUCAAGCUAACUCUCACCACGGAUUAGACAAACUUAAUGAUCCAAUUAAUAAGCUUUAUUCAGGAGAAACAUGUCAGCGUUAGUCUUAAGAAACCUGCUGCAGUCGAUACCCUUCCAGGAAAUAUCUUUCAUGAUUGCAUAUUAAAUUUAAUCUGACACCCUAAAUAUAGUUCUUUGUAUAUUGUAUAGGUUGGCUGUAUUUACUACUAUCCUUAUGGGUCUCAAAAAAGCAAACUAAUUUUUAACAAAAAGUAACUGUUAUAAAUCGUGUACAUCUAAAGAGUAAUAUUAUUUUAUCUUUUUUUCUUUCUUCUUUUUUUUUGUCGGGGGUUUCGUUCAACAAAGAUGUCUGUCAUGAAGAAUUUAAGUUUCAUAUUUUCAUCUGUCAGUCUUGAAAAGGCCUGUCAUCUGAAGCUUGAAGUACAGUUUGCCGACAGGCUUUUAGACCACAAUGACAAUACAAUCUUAUAUUUGUGCUACCAGGCUCCAAAUAAUCCCCACUUCCCUCCUCACUGGCCCAGUUAUGAUCUGGCUUAAGUUGCAUAUUUUGUUUCUAUCAGGAUUUUGCUGAUAAAUGCUAUCAGCAAGAGUGAAAUGAAAUAUGGGAGGUCCAGCUCUUAUUACAAGAAUAUAUAUUUACCAUUUUAAAGAGAAGGGUUGUUCAUAUUUUGGAAUUUACCUCCAUAACAUAAAAUAAUGAGUACAUUGUUAAUAUCUUUAAAGAAUGUGACUUCAGAAUCCCACCAGUAACUGCUACAUGUCAUGCAAUUACUUAUUAGUCUUUUUUCAAGUUCCAGAUCAAAAAGUAUAUCAAGUAACACACACAGCAUUACUAAUGUGGAGCUUUCCAACCACACUGGCAUUUAUUUGUUUAUUCUAUCUUUAGCUUGAUUAAAAAAAUGU